Long non-coding RNA from Oncorhynchus tshawytscha (Chinook salmon), 1445 nucleotides. Lineage: Eukaryota; Metazoa; Chordata; Actinopteri; Salmoniformes; Salmonidae. The record is from Ensembl.
GGGGAGAGGAGAGAGACGGGGGAGAGGUGAGAGACGGAGGAGAGGAGAGAGACGGAGGAGAGGUGAGAGACGGGGGAGAGGAGAGAGACGGAGGAGAGGUGAGAGACGGAGGAGAGGUGAGAGACGGAGGAGAGGUGAGAGACGGAGGAGAGGUGAGAGACGGAGGAGAGGGGAGAGAGACGGAGGAGAGGUGAGGCACGGGGGAGAGGAGAGAGACGGAGGAGAGGAGAGAGACGGAGGAGAGGAGAGAGACGGGGGGAGAGGUGAGAGACGGAGGAGAGGUGAGAGACGGAGGAGAGGUGAGAGACGGGGGAGUGGUGAGAGACGGGGGAGAGGAGAGAGACGGAGGAGAGGAGAGAGACGGAGGAGAGGAGAGAGACGGAGGAGAAGUGAGAGACGGAGGAGAGGUGAGAGACGGGGGAGUGGUGAGAGACGGGGGAGAGGAGAGAGACGGAGGAGAGGAGAGAGACGGAGGAGAGGAGAGAGACGGAGGAGAAGUGAGAGACGGAGGAGAGGUGAGAGACGGGGGGGAGUGGUGAGAGACGGGGGGGAGAGGAGAGAGACGGAGGAGAGGAGAGAGACGGAGGAGAGGAGAGAGACGGAGGAGAAGUGAGAGACGGGGGAGAGGAGAGAGACGGAGGAGAUGUGAGAGACGGGGGAGAGGAGAGAGACGGAGGAGAGGAGAGAGACGGAGGAGAGUAGAGAGACGGAGGAGAGGAGAGAGACGGAGGAGAGUAGAGAGAUGGAGGAGAGGAGAGAGAGAGGAGAGGAGAGAGACGGAGGAGAGGAGAGGAGAGAGACGGGGAGAGGAGAGAGACGGAGGAGAGGUGAGAGACGGAGGAGAGGUGAGAGACGGAGGAGAGGAGAGAGACGGAGGAGAGGGGAGAGACGGGAGAGGAGAGAGACGGAGGAGAGGUGAGGGACGGGGAGAGGAGAGAGACGGAGGAGAGAGAGAGGAGAGGAGAGAGACGGAGGAGAGGAGAGAGACGGGGAGAGGAGAGAGAGGAUAGGAGAGAGACGGAGGAGAGGAGAGAGACGGAGGAGAGGAGAGAGACGGAGGAGAGGAGAGAGACGGGGGGAGAGGAGAGAGACAGAGGAGAGUAGAGAGAGAGGAGAGGAGAGAGACGGAGGAGAGGAGAGAGACGGGGGGAGAGGAGAGAGACGGAGGAGAGGUGAGAGACGGAGGAGAAGAGAGAGAUGGAGGAGAGGUGAGAGACGGGGGAGAGGAGAGAGACUCGGGAGAGGAGAGAGAUGGAGGAGAGGAGAGAGACGGAGGAGAGGAGAGAGACGGGGGAGAGGAGAGAGAGAGAGAGACGACGGAGAGGAGAGAGAUGGAGGAGAGGAGAGAGACGGAGGAGAGGAGAGAGACGGAGGAGAGGAGAGAGACGGAGGAGAGGAGAGAGACUGAGGAGAGGAGAGAGACUGAGGAGAGGAGAGAGACGGGG